AGAGAAUAGAUACCCAGGUAGUCCACGCUGUAAACGAUGAUCACUAGAUGUAGGUUGGAUUCGUCCGAUCUGUGUCGUAGCUAACGCGAUAAGUGAUCCACCUGGGGAAUACGGUCGCAAGAUUAAAACUCAAAGAAAUUGACGGGGUCCGGCACAAGCGGUGGAAACAUGUGGUUUAAUUCGACACUACGCGAGAAACCUUACCCACGGUUUGUACAUGUAACGUUUAAGAGGGCGAAAUCCCUUGAUCCGUAGCAAUACGGAGUGUUACACAGGUGCUGCAUGGCUGUCGUCAGCUCGUGUCGUGAGAUGUUGGGUUAAAGUUCCUUUAACGUAGCGCAACCCUUGCCAUUAGUUGCUACAUUUAGUUGGGCACCCUAAUGGGACUGCCUGGGAAACCAGGAGGAAGGUGGGGAUGAUGUCAAGUCCUCAUGGCCCUUAUACCUGGGGCUACACACGUGUUACAAUGGCGAAGUACAAAGCGAAGCAAAGCCGCGAGGUGGAGCAAAUCGUUGAAAAUUCGUCUAAGUUCAGAUUGGAGUCUGC
This 546-nucleotide ribosomal RNA is filed under the name uncultured bacterium. RNAcentral describes it as "bacterial SSU rRNA". It matches the Rfam family "Bacterial small subunit ribosomal RNA", at positions 773 to 1308 of the family's 1533-position model. The record is from RNAcentral.